Molecule: unclassified non-coding RNA, 336 nt
Filed under: soil metagenome
Description: partial contains 5.8S ribosomal RNA, internal transcribed spacer 2, and large subunit ribosomal RNA
Rfam family: 5.8S ribosomal RNA (bases 1-120)
Source: RNAcentral
GAUGAAGAACGUAGCGAAAUGCGAUAAGUAGUGUGAAUUGCAGAAUUCAGUGAAUCAUCGAAUCUUUGAACGCACAUUGCACCCCUUGGUAUUCCAUGGGGCAUGCCUGUUCGAGCGUCAUUUGUACCUUCAAGCUUUGCUUGGUGUUGGGUGUUUGUCUCGCCUUUGCGUGUAGACUCGCCUUAAAAUAAUUGGCAGCCGGCGUAUUGAUUUCGGAGCGCAGUACAUCUCGCGCUUUGCACUCAUAACGACAGCGUCCAAAAGUACAUUUUACACUCUUGACCUCGGAUCAGGUAGGGAUACCCGCUGAACUUAAGCAUAUCAAUAAGCGGAGGA